UACGUAGGGUGCGAGCGUUGUCCGGAAUUAUUGGGCGUAAAGGGCUCGUAGGCGGUUUGUCGCGUCGGGAGUGAAAACACCGGGCUUAACUCGGUGCUUGCUUUCGAUACGGGCAGACUAGAGGUAUGCAGGGGAGAACGGAAUUCCUGGUGUAGCAGUGAAAUGCGCAGAUAUCAGGAGGAACACCGGUGGCGAAGGCGGUUCUCUGGGCAUUACCUGACGCUGAGGAGCGAAAGUGUGGGGAGCGAACAGG
Molecule: ribosomal RNA, 253 nt
Filed under: uncultured bacterium
Lineage: Bacteria
Description: partial 16S ribosomal RNA
Rfam family: Bacterial small subunit ribosomal RNA
Source: RNAcentral